RNAcentral lists this non-coding RNA (30 nucleotides) under Mus musculus (house mouse). Lineage: Eukaryota; Metazoa; Chordata; Mammalia; Rodentia; Muridae. The record is from RNAcentral.
UGAAGGUGUCCACAAAGUACUUUUCCCUCA